UACGAAGGGUGCAAGCGUUACUUGGAAUUACUGGGCGUAAAGCGUGCGUAGGUGGUUGUUUAAGUCUGUUGUGAAAGCCCUGGGCUCAACCUGGGAACUGCAGUGGAAACUGGACAACUAGAGUGUGGUAGAGGGUAGCGGAAUUCCCGGUGUAGCAGUGAAAUGCGUAGAGAUCGGGAGGAACAUCCAUGGCGAAGGCAGCUACCUGGACCAACACUGACACUGAGGCACGAAAGCGUGGGGAGCAAACAGG
This 253-nucleotide ribosomal RNA is filed under the name uncultured bacterium. RNAcentral's name for it is "partial 16S ribosomal RNA". It matches the Rfam family "Bacterial small subunit ribosomal RNA", at positions 524 to 776 of the family's 1533-position model. The record is from RNAcentral.